Xenopus tropicalis (tropical clawed frog) is the source of this 1994-nucleotide long non-coding RNA. RefSeq lists it as uncharacterized. The transcript has 2 exons. Lineage: Eukaryota; Metazoa; Chordata; Amphibia; Anura; Pipidae. The record is from RefSeq and is a predicted model, not a curated record.
CCCCUAUUUAAAAAGUCAUAAAAAUCCUUCUUCAGUUAAUAUUCAAAGAAACAUCUAAAAAAAAUCUAGACAUUGUGUUGGGGUAUAAGGAAGCAAAAAAAACUCCAGCAGAGAAUGCACCCCUUGCCCCAUAAGUCUUAGGGUAAUAACCCACAGAGCGAUUGAGUUGCCGGGAAUCUCUGCUAUCGCGCGCAACAAUAAACUUUUUGCGUCGCUUUGGUAAUACAAAGUUGCACAUAGUUGCCAGCAGGAGGAAACUUCCCGCAAGUUCGGAUUACCAAAGCGAUGCAAGGGGCUUUCCACCGGCGACUCCUAUUGUUACUGGUGGAAACCCUUUUCGGAGCAGUUUGUUGCCCCCAAUAGCAGAGAUCUAUCUCAGGUGACUAAACUGCUCUGUGGCUUCUUUCCCUUAAGGUGUUGUAGUUACACUAAAAUGGUGUAAUUUGUGUCAUUCAUUAAUGUUACUUGCAUCAGAACAGGCUCCUUGCAUGUCCAUAUAGUUGCAAUAAGGUACCAUUGUGUCCUUCUUUUGCGCUACAAAUGUGGCAGCAAUUCCAGGGUUCCCAUAAUGGUAACCCACCAGGUGGCAGUUAGCUUUUUCAGGUCUAUUGCAGGGUUAUGAGAGAGUCAGUUGCCAUGGAGCUCUGGACUGGUGAAAGCCUUGUGUUGUUAAAAUCCCAUUUGGGUCCGUGGGGCCCACAGGGUCUGACCCUGGUUCCUUUUAUAAUUUGUUGUUCUAUACAGUAGUGGAUGUUUAAAAUAAGAAAUGCAGCGUUUUUGUCUGUUUGCCAUACAGUUUACUUUAUUCCCUAGUACUCUAUGUGCCAUUCAUAGACACUAACAACAUCUUUCCUCUCUGCUGUUUAAGGAAGGCACAGUACCAGGCGGCACAGCCAAUUUUCCUUCUCUCUUUGAUGUGUUUGGCUUUGUUGAUACUAUCAUAGAUGUCAGGGAUACUGUUUGUAGAUAACCUGCCAACUAAGUAGGGCUGAUUUUAGGACACAGCAUUAGAAUAGCAUCUCAUUCUGCCAUGAUGGUCUGUUACUGUGUUCAUGGAGAUAGAACACGAGCCCCACAAAAUCACUACACAAAGAACCAACAGAAGGAAGUGCAAUGUUUGCUCAUAGCCUGCAUAGAGAUACCACAAAUCAGCAGCAAACUGAGGGGAUACAGGGGUGUCUGUAGCAGACUAGUGCCAAUCAGCCUGAAGGGGAGACUGUCUCCUAGAACUCCAGGGUGAGUUGUCCAAAUAAGGGGGCAAUAGGGGAGGCAAUAGCACACAUGAUGCUUUGUUGCAUGAAAUAGGGUAUUUUGGUUGUCUUGUCACCUGUGGAUCUGUAUUUCCAUCCUACCUGCUGUCAGGGCUCCCUUAGCUAAUAACAGAAUUAUAGGCAUUGGAAAACAUUGUUAAAUCUACCAUUCAGUUACAGUUUCAAGAAUAUCUACACUGACCAUUAAGUGUUCACCAUAAAUUCCACCCUAAGGGGCAGAAAUGGCCUUGAUUCCCCUAACCAGUGCUGUGGGUGCCCUGAUGGCCCAUUGGCUUUGAGAACCACUGUUUUAUUAAAGUUUAUUAAAAUAACAUAAGUGCAAGUUAUUGCUUUGGCCAAAGCCAGACAAGAUAAGCUCAAUGAGCUUUGCUUCACAACAUGAUGGGAUAAAUACCUGUUAAGUAUGUGACAAUUAUGUUACACAUCCACUAUUCAUUGUCCUUAAUAAGCCCAUUAGCAUACUAAAGCCCUAACUAGUAGCCUUUUGUUGUGCCCAGACCCUGAUAAAGGCUCUGCUGUUAAUCCAGUGUGGGGAUGUCUUGGUCCAGCAACUAAGCACUCAGCCUGUAAACCUAUCUGCCAAGAAAUGCAGAGAAGACAUUGCUAAUUAGUGUAUCCCAUUAAGCAGAGGGGAAUUAGAUGCCUAUUUCAAAUUAAAAUCCAGUCUGAUUUUUUAAGAAGGGACUGCCUACUUUCAGAAUUAAAGUACAAGUAACCAGCAUG